RNAcentral lists this ribosomal RNA (582 nucleotides) under uncultured bacterium. RNAcentral's name for it is "bacterial SSU rRNA". It matches the Rfam family "Bacterial small subunit ribosomal RNA", at positions 341 to 914 of the family's 1533-position model. The record is from RNAcentral.
ACGGGAGGCAGCAGUAGGGAAUCUUCCACAAUGGGCGAAAGCCUGAUGGAGCAACGCCGCGUGAGUGAAGAAGGAUUUCGGUUCGUAAAACUCUGUUGUAAGGGAAGAACAAGUACAGUAGUAACUGGCUGUACCUUGACGGUACCUUAUUAGAAAGCCACGGCUAACUACGUGCCAGCAGCCGCGGUAAUACGUAGGUGGCAAGCGUUGUCCGGAAUUAUUGGGCGUAAAGCGCGCGCAGGUGGUUUCUUAAGUCUGAUGUGAAAGCCCACGGCUCGACCGUGGAGGGUCAUUGGAAACUGGGAGACUUGAGUGCAGAAAAGGAUAGUGGAAUUCCAAGUGUAGCGGUGAAAUGCGUAGAGAUUUGGAGGAACACCAGUGGCGAAGGCGACUAUCUGGUCUGUAACUGACACUGAGGCGCGAAAGCGUGGGGAGCAAACAGGAUUAGAUACCCUGGUAGUCCACGCCGUAAACAAUGAGUGCUAAGUGUUAGGGGGUUUCCGCCCCUUAGUGCUGCAGCUAACGCAUUAAGCACUCCGCCUGGGGAGUACGGUCGCAAGACUGAAACUCAAAGGAAUUGAC